GCCGGGGUGGCCGAGCGGACAAGGCGCAGGCCUUGAGAGCCUGUGGCCCCUCGAGGGCCGCAUGGGUUCGAAUCCCAUCCCCGGCGCCA
RNAcentral lists this transfer RNA (89 nucleotides) under Candidatus Bathyarchaeota archaeon. Its description in RNAcentral is "tRNA-Ser". It matches the Rfam family "tRNA". From Rfam's summary of the family: Transfer RNA (tRNA) molecules are approximately 80 nucleotides in length. Their secondary structure includes four short double-helical elements and three loops (D, anti-codon, and T loops). Further hydrogen bonds mediate the characteristic L-shaped molecular structure. tRNAs have two regions of fundamental functional importance: the anti-codon, which is responsible for specific mRNA codon recognition, and the 3' end, to which the tRNAs corresponding amino acid is attached (by aminoacyl-tRNA synthetases). tRNAs cope with the degeneracy of the genetic code in two manners: having more than one tRNA (with a specific anti-codon) for a particular amino acid; and 'wobble' base-pairing, i.e. permitting non-standard base-pairing at the 3rd anti-codon position. Lineage: Archaea; Thermoproteati; Candidatus Bathyarchaeota. The record is from RNAcentral.